UAUGAGAGUUUGAUCCUGGCUCAGGACGAACGCUGGCGGCGUGCCUAAUACAUGCAAGUCGAACGCUUCUUUUUCCACCGGAGCUUGCUCCACCGGAAAAAGAGGAGUGGCGAACGGGUGAGUAACACGUGGGUAACCUGCCCAUCAGAAGGGGAUAACACUUGGAAACAGGUGCUAAUACCGUAUAACAAUCAAAACCGCAUGGUUUUGAUUUGAAAGGCGCUUUCGGGUGUCGCUGAUGGAUGGACCCGCGGUGCAUUAGCUAGUUGGUGAGGUAACGGCUCACCAAGGCCACGAUGCAUAGCCGACCUGAGAGGGUGAUCGGCCACAUUGGGACUGAGACACGGCCCAAACUCCUACGGGAGGCAGCAGUAGGGAAUCUUCGGCAAUGGACGAAAGUCUGACCGAGCAACGCCGCGUGAGUGAAGAAGGUUUUCGGAUCGUAAAACUCUGUUGUUAGAGAAGAACAAGGAUGAGAGUAACUGUUCAUCCCUUGACGGUAUCUAACCAGAAAGCCACGGCUAACUACGUGCCAGCAGCCGCGGUAAUACGUAGGUGGCAAGCGUUGUCCGGAUUUAUUGGGCGUAAAGCGAGCGCAGGCGGUCUAUAAAAUCUUUGAUUUUAUGAGACGAUCGAUCUUUUUGCCGCACAGGCUGAUUUGUGAGCUGGAUAGAGAAGAGGAGAGUGGAAUUCCAUGUGUAGCGGUGAAAUGCGUAGAUAUAUGGAGGAACACCAGUGGCGAAGGCGGCUCUCUGGUCUGUAACUGACGCUGAGGCUCGAAAGCGUGGGGAGCAAACAGGAUUAGAUACCCUGGUAGUCCACGCCGUAAACGAUGAGUGCUAAGUGUUGGAGGGUUUCCGCCCUUCAGUGCUGCAGCUAACGCAUUAAGCACUCCGCCUGGGGAGUACGACCGCAAGGUUGAAACUCAAAGGAAUUGACGGGGGCCCGCACAAGCGGUGGAGCAUGUGGUUUAAUUCGAAGCAACGCGAAGAACCUUACCAGGUCUUGACAUCCUUUGACCACUCUAGAGAUAGAGCUUCCCCUUCGGGGGCAAAGUGACAGGUGGUGCAUGGUUGUCGUCAGCUCGUGUCGUGAGAUGUUGGGUUAAGUCCCGCAACGAGCGCAACCCUUAUUGUUAGUUGCCAUCAUUCAGUUGGGCACUCUAGCAAGACUGCCGGUGACAAACCGGAGGAAGGUGGGGAUGACGUCAAAUCAUCAUGCCCCUUAUGACCUGGGCUACACACGUGCUACAAUGGGAAGUACAACGAGUUGCGAAGUCGCGAGGCUAAGCUAAUCUCUUAAAGCUUCUCUCAGUUCGGAUUGCAGGCUGCAACUCGCCUGCAUGAAGCCGGAAUCGCUAGUAAUCGCGGAUCAGCACGCCGCGGUGAAUACGUUCCCGGGCCUUGUACACACCGCCCGUCACACCACGAGAGUUUGUAACACCCGAAGUCGGUGAGGUAACCUUUUGGAGCCAGCCGCCUAAGGUGGGAUAGAUGAUUGGGGUGAAGUCGUAACAAGGUAGCCGUAUCGGAAGGUGCGGCUGGAUCACCUCCUU
Molecule: ribosomal RNA, 1555 nt
Filed under: Enterococcus faecium
Lineage: Bacteria; Bacillati; Bacillota; Bacilli; Lactobacillales; Enterococcaceae
Description: bacterial SSU rRNA
Rfam family: Bacterial small subunit ribosomal RNA
Source: RNAcentral